RNAcentral lists this ribosomal RNA (440 nucleotides) under high G+C Gram-positive bacterium MB14. Its description in RNAcentral is "bacterial SSU rRNA". It matches the Rfam family "Bacterial small subunit ribosomal RNA", at positions 28 to 463 of the family's 1533-position model. Lineage: Bacteria; Bacillati; Actinomycetota; Actinomycetes. The record is from RNAcentral.
GACGAACGCUGGCGGCGUGCUUAACACAUGCAAGUCGAACGGUGACGAUCAAGCUUGCUUGGUCUGAUCAGUGGCGAACGGGUGAGUAACACGUGAGUAACCUGCCCCAGACUCUGGGAUAACCCCGGGAAACCGGAGCUAAUACCGGAUAUGACACGCCCCUGCAUGGGGAGUGUGUGGAAAGUUUUUCGGUCUGGGAUGGACUCGCGGCCUAUCAGCUUGUUGGUGAGGUAAUGGCUCACCAAGGCGACGACGGGUAGCCGGCCUGAGAGGGCGACCGGCCACACUGGGACUGAGACACGGCCCAGACUCCUACGGGAGGCAGCAGUGGGGAAUAUUGCACAAUGGGCGAAAGCCUGAUGCAGCGACGCCGCGUGAGGGAUGACGGCCUUCGGGUUGUAAACCUCUUUCAGCAGGGAAGAAGCGCAAGUGGCAGAAGA